CUGAAGAAGACCUCUUCUCCCCCUCCCUCGCUGAGAAGAUGGCGCUCUCCAGGGUGUGCUGGGCUCGAACUGCUCUGUGGGGUUCGGUGGUCACCCCUGGACCUUAUGUCACUCGGAGGCUGCAGCUUGUUCGCUCUGGACUGGCCUGGAGGGCCCCUCGUCUCUUUGAUCCUCCUUGUAGGUCUUCAAAGCUUCACCUUUCUCCAAAAGCAGAUGUGAAGAGCGUAAUCUCUUAUGUGGUGACUAAGACAAAAGCGAUUAAUGGGAAAUACCAUCGUUUUUUGGAUCGUCAUUUCCCCCGCUUCUAUGUCCUGUACACAACCUUCACGAAAGGAUUGCAGAUGUUAUGGGCUGAUGCCAAAAAGGCUAGAAGAAUAAAGAAGGAUAUGUUGAAGGACAAUGUAAAGUUUCAUCAACUUUCUUACCGGGAGAUGGAACAUUUGAGACAGUUCCGUAGAGACGUCACCAAAUGUUUUUUCCUGGGUAUUAUUUCCAUUCCACCCUUUGCCAACUACCUGGUCUUCUUGCUAAUGUACCUGUUUCCCAGGCAACUACUGGUCAAACAUUUCUGGACCCCAAAGCAACAAAUUGAUUUUUUAGAUAUCUAUCAUGCUAUCCGGAAGCAGUCCCACCCAGAAAUCCUUUGUUAUUUAGAAAAAGUUACCCCUCUUAUUUCUGAUACAGGACUCCAGUGGCAUAUGACAGAGCUGUGCACCAAGAUACAGCGUGGUACCCAUCCAGCAAUACAUGAUAUCCUGACUCUGAGAGAGUGUUUCUCUAAACAUCCUCUGGGCAUGAACCACCUCCAUGCUUUGCAAAUAAAAGCCUUGAGUCGAGCCAUGCUUCUCACACCUUACCUGCCUUCUCUCUUAUUGAGACACCGUUUAAAGACUCAUACCACUGUGAUUCACCAGCUGGACAAGGCUUUGGCAAAGCUGGGGAUUAACCAGCUGACUGCUCAGGAAGUGAAAUCGGCUUGUUAUCUUCGUGGCUUGAAUUCUACCUUUAUUGCUGAAGAGAGGUGUCGAACUUGGCUGGCAGAAUGGCUGAAGAUUUCCUGCAGCCUGAAAGAAGCUGAGCUGUCUCUUUUGCUACACAACGUGGUCCUGCUUUCCAUCAAUUACAUUGGGAAACAGCGCUGAGUGAACAUGGAGUGGAUGGCAUUGUCCUGCCGUCACAGUACAGCAGCGUGGGACCAAACAGCACUUGUCAGCAGUCUGUGUGCAGUUAUGUGUGAGGCAGAGGAGCAGGUGCCACAGGCUUCAGUGUGGUACCGUGUGGGAGCUGGAACUGAAGCAAACCCUCUUACCAGAGGUGGUCCGCGGGAGGUGUCAUCGCAACUUCCUUGGAAUUAGCUCAAACUGGAUGCAGUCCCUGUACUGGGCUGUGACUGUGACAUAUUAAGUUCAGAUCCUGGAAAGUGAGCUUUUGCCCCAGUGAAUAACUUAUGGGAACAUUCUAAUGGAAAAGAAAAAAGGAAAUACAAGUGCUUCUUGACCCCUUAGCCAGUGUUUACAGCCUUCACACCCUUGUCUUAAUUUCUGGCCUGUGGAUCUUAAACUCUUUGCUACCUCCACUGUUGCAGCCUUCCAACUGUAACUGACAGUGGCUGCCUUCGGGCCAUGGAUCAAACCUGUAUGGUACUAAUUACUGCCCAGCCAGGAGACCAGGAGAGGUCUGCAUCAAGAUAGUAAGUUGGGUUUAGCUUUUGUCUAUAUAUGUACAUCAGUGACCUGUAGUAACUUAACUGUAAAUGCAUGAAGCAGUUUUUAAACCCAAGUAAAGACUUGUCUGAAAUCA
This is an RNA transcript of Miniopterus natalensis, 1800 nucleotides long. It is a transcript of the gene named LETM1 domain containing 1, with no coding region annotated. Lineage: Eukaryota; Metazoa; Chordata; Mammalia; Chiroptera; Miniopteridae. The record is from RefSeq and is a predicted model, not a curated record.